GAAAAUAUUUCUCUCUUUUACUUUGCAAAAGACAAACUAAAAACUCCUAUUUUUCCUUGUUUUGCCGAAGCAUACCCAAGGAAAAAAGACUCCAUUUUUCCUUUGUAACUCUUCACCUUCAAAGCUUUAUUAAGAUGUGACGGAAAGUCAACUAUUGACGGAUCAAAGUGAAGGAGCACCGGUUGGAAUAGACCGAGUGGCUAAUAGUGGAUCAUCGUGGCGUAUUUAAUUAUUUAUGGAGCGACAGUCUGAAUAUUGCCUGUGUCUGGACGAGACUUCAUCUUUUUGAUUCUUGAAGUCUUCGUUUUGCGUAUAUGGUAUUUGGUCUUAUCUUGAUCUGUAGAGCUGCAGUAGAAUAGAUAGACAGACGCCUUAGCAUGUCAGUAUUUGCGAUGUUUGCCACGCAUGAACUCUGUUUUAUUUUCAUCGCACGAUUAUAAUAUAUUUUAACGACAUGCAUUAAGGUAUUGGGAAAUAGUUGCAACCCGGGUACACGGUAGUACCGAGAGUUUUGAGAUACAGAGUAAAGAAAACUGUACGCAACUAUGUUAUGUGUAUAAUAUGGGGCCCAACGUGGCUAUAUGCAUGAAUGCAUGUUAUCAGUUUUGUAAAAGACGAUAUUCGAGGAAUACGCAUUAAAACGAUAACCAGUAAUUAAAAAGUAUCAGUUUUAAUUUAACGAAUGUGUUUGCAUAUUGAAAUGCAUUUAAAUCCAUAAUGAAAUGGUUUGCAUAGUAAAAUGCAGUUAUCACCAUAAUGAGAUGGUGUGUGCAUAAUGAGAUGCAUUAUAAACCCCAGUGAAGUGGGUAUGAAACUUGAAUACAUUAAUUAAAUAGAAAAUUAAUUAUAAAGUUUCAUCAUGAUUUUAUCGGAAUGUUUUUAAACGGAGAUUUUAAAAUGUUCGAAAAUAUGAUUUGAAUUCCGCGAAAAAAAAUUAAGUGGUUUUUAAUGUAUUUUUAAGGCUUGCUACGGGUUUCGGAGCAACCACUCCCAUUCCCUAGCGCCGGUCUCGACGCCGAGAAUCGGGUCGUGACAAAGGUGGUAUCAGAGCAAUGGUCGAUGAGUUGGGCCAUUGCGUGAUAAUGUGUGAGCAAUAUUCGAAAAAGUCGAAUGAUUGCAUAGUGAUAAAGUGUAAAGGCUUAGAAAUGUCUAUCGUGUUCCUAGGAAUUUAUGAGUAUUCAUAGGAAUCUACUGCAGCAUAUAAGAAUUCGAAUCAUGUCUUUGUUACAUCAUCGUUUUCAAAAUCCUCGAUCUUCAGCUUUCCCUUAGGAAGUGAGUCUGUGAUUAUGUGAUUAUGUGCUUAUUUGCAAUUCUAUGAUUCGUUGAUUAAAGUUGAUUUCGGUUAAUGAAAACCGAAUAUGAUUGCAUGUUUUUCAGUAUUUAAAACGUGCUAAAAUGUGAUAUGUGGGAAGUAUGAAAAUUGUUUGUUUAAAAUUUUAUGUGAAAAGUUAUAUGGUUUAUGUUUGGCUAUUCGGUGAUUAUAUGUUUAAAGGAUGAUAUGCGAUUUGUUUGCGCAUUUGAAUUUGAUUGGUUGCUAAGUGAGCAACGUGAUUUGAUUAGAAUGAGUGGCUAAAAAUAAGUGGAAACUCAUGUUGCAGAAAUAGAACAUGAUAAAGAGGAGACUCAUGAUGAGACCUCUGUUAAGGGUAAAGGAAAUGACCCAUUACCUAUAGUAGGUAAAAAUCGCGAACGAUAGAUAAUUAUAGAUAUAGAGGCGUUGUCGUUGACAUUGAAUUGAUCAACGAAAGAAGAAAGCGAAGAAUGAUUUCUACAGAGUUGGAAAUGUCUAA
Long non-coding RNA from Mercurialis annua (annual mercury), 1790 nucleotides. RefSeq lists it as uncharacterized. The transcript is spliced from 3 exons. The record is from RefSeq and is a predicted model, not a curated record. NCBI's taxonomy places the organism in Eukaryota, Viridiplantae, Streptophyta, Magnoliopsida, Malpighiales, Euphorbiaceae.